CGUUAANUCGGAGGAAGGUGGGGAAGAAGUCAAGUCNUCAUGGCCCUUAUAAGUAGGGCUACACACGUACUACAAUGGUAACUACAGACGGAUGCAAAGCAGNGAUGUCGAGCAAAUCCUAAAAAAGUUAUUUCAGUUCAGAUUGGAGUNUGCAANUCGACUCCAUGAAGGCGGAAUCGCUAGUAAUCGCGGAUCAGAAUGCCGCGGUGAAUACGUUNCCCGGGCCUUGUACACACCGCCCGUCACACCAUGAAAGUCGGCUG
RNAcentral lists this ribosomal RNA (263 nucleotides) under uncultured bacterium. Its description in RNAcentral is "partial 16S rRNA". It matches the Rfam family "Bacterial small subunit ribosomal RNA", at positions 1156 to 1417 of the family's 1533-position model. The record is from RNAcentral.